CUUAUAUAAAGAUAAUUGGGAGUUUUCAUGCCUGUCACAUCACUGCAAGUUGCUGGGACAGUGAGAAAAAGUAAUUCUGAAGUGCUAAAAGAUUGUGAGACGGCAAUGGGAAGUCUUUUCAAGAUUUAAGACCUAAAAUAGCCAUAUACAAUGGACAGGUGAUGAGCACUGGAAGUGGAAUGGGGACCAGAAAAGUACACUCAUGGCCCUACCUGAAGUAGUUUUAUUUCUGAAUAUCUGUAUAAAUGUUUUAAGCAUUAAAGUAUUUAUUAUUUGAAUUAUAGUAAUUCAUAGAAAUCUCUGCACAGCAAGAGAUGGUCUGGUCAGAAAGAACAGCAUCCAGAUCAUAGAAUCAUAGAACUAUAGAAUCAUGGAAUCAUAGAACAUCCGAGUUGGAAGUGACCCACAAAGAUCAUGAAGUCCAACUCCUGGGUCCCUAAAGGACCACCCCCCAAAAAAUAAAAUAAAAUAAAAUAAAAUAAAAUAAAAUAAAAUAAAAUAAUCAAAUCAUGUGUCUGAGAGUGUUGUCCAAAUACUUCUUGAACUCUGGCAGGCUUGAUGCUGUGACCACUUCCCUGGGAAACGUGUUCCAGUGCCCAACCACCCUCUUGGUGAAAAACCUUUUCCUGAUAACCAGCCUGAACGUCCCGUCACAGCUUUAAGCCAUUCCCCCAGGUCCUAUCAUAAAUAGGCAAGACAGAACAUUUUGAGAGAAAGUAUUAUUAGGUAUGUUUUACAGGUGGGGAAAACAAAACAAGGGAAGGCGCUGGAUGGGACUGACUUCCAGAUUGAGGCUGUUAAGCUGUGGUGUUAAUGUGCAGAUCCUCUCCAGGUUCAUAUGCCCCACCAUGUUCUGGCUGUUGUCUAGCAAUCAGAAGUCUCCUAUUGAUCCUGCACCAUACCAGCUAAUCCAGCACAGAAAUCUUGAUGCUGUAGGCUGCUCCAGGCAGGAUGAAACUUCAAAGUCCUCUGCACCGAAACAGACAUUGGCGUAGUUGAGAGAUCACUUAAUAUGAUCAGAAUGCAAAACUUAGGAUUUUUCAUCUUGGUGAAAGGAACCCACUGCUACCACAAGGGAUUUUAUCACUUCAUCUGGGACCAGGUAUAGUUUGAGAUGGUGAAGGCAAACCUGGAAGGCAAUGGCAGAUGUUUUGUUUGACCAAACAAAAGACAAACCACUAAGAUUAACAACUGCUCUGGGAGAGGGUAACGGCUGAUCCCAUAACAUCUGUUUUCAGUGUUCCAGCCAUAGCCUGGAGAUAUCAGCAGGAGUACUUCCAUUUGAGCUGCUUGGGUAAGGUCAAUAUGGGAGUUAGGAAGACAUAAUAUUUCUCAAGUGAAGAGCAGAAUAAGUGAAAGAAGUGAAAAAGUGAAAGGACAAAGGGUGUG
RNAcentral lists this long non-coding RNA (1389 nucleotides) under Anas platyrhynchos platyrhynchos (common mallard). Its description in RNAcentral is "lncRNA (ENSAPLG00000024537.1)". Lineage: Eukaryota; Metazoa; Chordata; Aves; Anseriformes; Anatidae. The record is from RNAcentral.